Molecule: ribosomal RNA, 301 nt
Filed under: uncultured bacterium
Lineage: Bacteria
Description: partial 16S ribosomal RNA
Rfam family: Bacterial small subunit ribosomal RNA
Source: RNAcentral
CAGCCGCCGCGGUAACACGGAGGGAGCUAGCGUUGUUCGGAAUUACUGGGCGUAAAGCGCGCGUAGGCGGUUACUCAAGUCAGAGGUGAAAGCCCGGGGCUCAACCCCGGAACUGCCUUUGAAACUAGGUGACUAGAAUCUUGGAGAGGUCAGUGGAAUUCCGAGUGUAGAGGUGAAAUUCGUAGAUAUUCGGAAGAACACCAGUGGCGAAGGCGACUGACUGGACAAGUAUUGACGCUGAGGUGCGAAAGCGUGGGGAGCAAACAGGAUUAGAUACCCCAGUAGUCCCUGUCUCUUAUAC